AGCUCCAAUAGCGUAUAUUAAAGUUGUUGCAGUUAAAAAGCUCGUAGUUGAACUUCUGCGCGUCGGACUCCUGGCUUAGGUCGGAAGUCGGGCGCGCAUCCGUCUGAGAGCCCGGUUCGUCCUUUACUGGUCGGCCGGGGGAUCAGACAUUUUACUGUGAAAAAUCAGAGUGUUCAAGGCAGGCCAUCGCCCUGAAUACACAAGCAUGGAAUAAUGGAAUAGGACUAUGAUCCAUUUUGUUGGUUCUUGGAUCUUAGUAAUGAUUAAUAGGGACAGUUGGGGCAUUAGUAUUUAAUUGUCAGAGGUGAAAUUCUUGGAUUUAUUAAAGACUAACUUAUGCGAAAGCAUUUGCCAAGGAUGUUUUCA
Molecule: ribosomal RNA, 366 nt
Filed under: uncultured eukaryote
Lineage: Eukaryota
Description: SSU rRNA
Rfam family: Eukaryotic small subunit ribosomal RNA
Source: RNAcentral